This 16811-nucleotide long non-coding RNA is filed under the name Lathyrus oleraceus (garden pea). Its description in RNAcentral is "Pisum sativum (pea) long non-coding RNA (PSAT_LNC003902)". The record is from RNAcentral. Lineage: Eukaryota; Viridiplantae; Streptophyta; Magnoliopsida; Fabales; Fabaceae.
CCAUUCUGCUCGCCUAGCGAGCAUGACAGCUCAUGAACAAACUUUUGCUCCUUCAAGAUUAACGUUUUGACUGACGAAUAGACCCCAUUUGAACCUGUUGGAAGUAUCUCAAGCCAUUCCCUUGUGUUGACUGAUCAUCUAAAUAGAACCCACAAAGUGUCUUGGAUGAUACUCAAGCUUCAAACAAAAGAUGUUAGUGACACAUUUUUGUGCUUUUGGUUAGUAAACAAAAGUAAGAGAAACAAUGAUGUAUAAUUCAAGCAUGCUUGGUGAUCUCAAACCAAUCACAAGGAGUCCCACCCAAAGGCAAAGGGAACCAAGAUGCUAAAGAUCCUUGAGGCAAUGCAAAUGCAAUGUUAUGAUGCCAUGAGGGAUCUUAGGGUCAAAAUUGGGGUCUUACAGAUGCCCCUAUUUAAGGUCAUUCUAGCCGGAGAAGUGAAGGUUAAAAUCUUCGUCUCGACGGGGUAGAAUGGGCUUAAAUAAUAACAAAGAGACGAAUUUUGGUCCCUAAGAGACCUCAUGAUGCAAAUGUAGGUAUGAAAAAUGGUAGCACUCUGUGGAGAUAUGUGUCCACAAAAGCAAAGAAAUCAGAAGCCACUGAUAAUCCAUAUGAGCAAUUCACUCCAUGGGACCAAGACCCUGGGGACUCUCCUGGGGAUAGAAAAGGGAUAAAAAUGCGCGAGCAGGUCACGACUCAAAGCGUGGGGAACAGAAUUCCAAAGGGAAAAGAUCCAAUGGAAAGACUCGAGCUGACUCGAAGAUGCAUGUAUUGGGGAAUAUGCCAAUACAGCAAAAAACUAUCCACAGCGGAUACUUCGGAUAAAAUCCGGAUGAAAACAAUCCACUAAGGGACUUCGCUGGGGAUGUCCACAAGGACACUCCUGGGGAAGCAGCGGGACGAGGUAUUACCGGUUACUGGGUAAUAAGCUCAAGGAGACAUGUGAUCUGAACGCCAGGUAUGAGGGUGAGAGAUACAACAUGCUCAGGAAGAGAUGAAUAUCCAAGACCGGUAUAAGGGUGAGAGAUAUCAAAACUUCAAAACGUCUGAGGAAAACCUAAAAGGUAUACUUCAACUCAGGGAUUCUGACUCCACAGGGGACAAAAAGUCAUAAUAGGGAGCAGAGAGGAAGGAACACCAGGGAUACCGGUUACUGGGCAUAUAAUAGGUGACCAACCAAGGCGUGAAUUGGGGAAUAUUCCCAAAACACUCAUCAUCCAAAAGAGGGCUAAAAGCAAACUCGAUUACAGGAUGGAUAUUCGACUCCACAAAGGGGAUACGAAUCUUACUCAACUGGGGAAGAACAAAAGGCUUCAGACCCGAGAGUGCAUGAGAUAUACUAUCUAUUACCGUCAGAACGUAGAUAAUAUACUCACAUGGAUGAUUAUCCACAACCGGUUACUGGGUUAAUAAAGGAUAAAUCGACCGAAAAGAAAAGGCAUCGGGAUACCGAAACUAGGUAUAUAAUGAUGACCAAUUUAGGGGAGACACAAUCGUUACCAACAACAAGGUAGACGAGAGAUGACCCGCUGGGGAUAAAUUGCGUAAUCAGGGCAAUUAUCCAAGCAAAUGAGGGGAUAUCAUCACAGAAUAUUUGAUGAAGAUAACUGUCACCAAUUAAAGAUGAGCAAAAAUAGUUACUCUACAAAAAGGGAAGAAAUGGGGUUUACAACUACCGGUAUGAGGGUAGAGGAACACAGACUCCGCCGGGGAUAAUAAUUACUAAUUAUUGAGCAAUUAUUCAUUUACCACGGGGAAAUAGGAAAAGAGUCUCAAGAGACCGAUCUAGGAUCAAACUAGAUAGGCACACCAAAUCAAGAACGGGGAUAAUAAUUACUAAUUAUUGAGCAAUUAUUCAUUUACCACGGGGAAAUAGGAAAAGAGUCUCAAGAGACCGAUCUAGGAUCAAACUAGAUAGGCACACCAAAUCAAGACUUGUCCCGGUGAGGGUAUAACUCAAUGGGGAAAACCAUCCCAGUAUAUGUGUUGGGAAGGAACAAAAAUAAUCAACAUCCACGAGGAUAUAACCCGGUGGGGAAUAUGGAAGAAAGGAUAUAUGCUUUCUGCCUAUGGGGAUGACUCCAUAUGGAGAGAUCAGAUACACACGUCUGCUUGGGAAAGUAUAUCACCAAAUAGCAGGAGACAGCAAACAACGAUAUAGGGCAAAGAAUGCAACAUGAAUAUCUGAAUGUUAUAAUUAUGCAUGUAUAUGCGUGGUCUAUGUAUGAUGUAUGCUGAAAGACAGACAUAUCUAACACAAGCAGGUACAGGAAUCAACCACCCGGUACUACAUCUCAAGAGAGAAAGCCAAGUUCACCGGGGAGUAUCCAAUCUGCUGGGGAUCAGAGAUACCAGGAAGCAAAGAACUCUGCAGGGGAUGAAUCAUCAAUCAUUCCAGCUGGGGACGAGAGUUAUCACAGACAAGGUCCACCACACCAACAACUCUACUGGGGAAUCUAUCCGAGGAGAUAAAGGAUUUAUCAGGAUCAACCACCAAAUACCGCUCUUGCCCAAAGAGAUCCAAGCUGCUGAGGAAGAAAGAUUGCUACUCUGCUGAAGGGAAGAGAGGUGACUCUCAACAAGCAAUCCACUUGGUAGGAUAAACCACAAGGGGUUCCGGAGGGAGGAGAUACAGUCAUGCCAGGAAUAUGGACAAAAAUCUUACCNNNNNNNNNNNNNNNNNNNNNNNNNNNNNNNNNNNNNNNNNNNNNNNNNNNNNNNNNNNNNNNNNNNNNNNNNNNNNNNNNNNNNNNNNNNNNNNNNNNNNNNNNNNNNNNNNNNNNNNNNNNNNNNNNNNNNNNNNNNNNNNNNNNNNNNNNNNNNNNNNNNNNNNNNNNNNNNNNNNNNNNNNNNNNNNNNNNNNNNNNNNNNNNNNNNNNNNNNNNNNNNNNNNNNNNNNNNNNNNNNNNNNNNNNNNNNNNNNNNNNNNNNNNNNNNNNNNNNNNNNNNNNNNNNNNNNNNNNNNNNNNNNNNNNNNNNNNNNNNNNNNNNNNNNNNNNNNNNNNNNNNNNNNNNNNNNNNNNNNNNNNNNNNNNNNNNNNNNNNNNNNNNNNNNNNNNNNNNNNNNNNNNNNNNNNNNNNNNNNNNNNNNNNNNNNNNNNNNNNNNNNNNNNNNNNNNNNNNNNNNNNNNNNNNNNNNNNNNNNNNNNNNNNNNNNNNNNNNNNNNNNNNNNNNNNNNNNNNNNNNNNNNNNNNNNNNNNNNNNNNNNNNNNNNNNNNNNNNNNNNNNNNNNNNNNNNNNNNNNNNNNNNNNNNNNNNNNNNNNNNNNNNNNNNNNNNNNNNNNNNNNNNNNNNNNNNNNNNNNNNNNNNNNNNNNNNNNNNNNNNNNNNNNNNNNAGGAAUAUGGACAAAAAUCUUACCCUGUUGGGGAUCGUACCACCCUUGGGAGAGCACUGAGGAUCUCCUAAGUAUCCUUUCGUCAUUGUGAAUGUUCACUUUGUUUAAAAACAAAUUAUAAAAAAUUUGAUCGUUUAAAACAAUGAUAUUUUCUUAAUCAAAACAUGCAAAACAUUUGUUGAAUAGAAACAGAUAAGAGUGCCAAUAAUUGGAUAAAAGGCUCAAAUUUAUUUGAUAGAAUGGUAGUCUGCGAAUGGCAAGACUCCAUAGAUCUUUACAAAUUUGAAAUUGGUGAUAUAUAUUGGAAAAGGGCUACAUUGAACAUAAUGACCAUUUCUCCACCAAUUCUGAAUCCGAUGUAUUUGAAGCUUUGGCUGAUAAUGAGCAAGGAUCUCUGACGGACGACAGUUGUAGAACAAAGUCUUGUCAGGAUGCAGUUACUUGCCAAAUCCCUAAUUUUUGCCUAGAUUGCCCCAGGAUGAGGUACUCAAUCUAGCGGGAUUAUUAUAUAUUUUUUGUGUCUCUAACUUUUUCCUAGACCGCCCUUUCGGGUUUUCAAUCCACCGAGCCGCUCAUUUUUGCCUAAGCCGCCCUUUCGGUUUUCAACUUAGCGAGCUAUUCAGUUUUUUUAUUUUUUUAGGCGAAGUAUUUCUUGACUGCAUAUGAAUUCACAGGACGAGUGAAAUCCUCCUCAUCCAUAGUUGUAAGUAUCAAAGCACCGCCUGAAAAGGCUCUCUUAACAACAUACGGACCCUCAUAGUUCGGAGUCCACUUGCCUCUGGAAUCGGGCGCGAAAGACAAGACUUUCUUGAGCACAAGGCCACCUUCUCGGAACACACGAGGCUUGACCUUCUUAUCAAAAGCUUUCUUCAUCCUCUGCUGAUAUAACUGACCGUGGCACAUGGCAGUCAAUCUCUUUUCUUCUAUCAAGUUCAGCUGGUCAUAACGACUCUGAACCCAUUCAGCAUCAGUCAACUUGGCCUCCAUCAAGACUCUCAUUGAUGGGAUCUCCACCUCUACUGGGAGUACAACCUCCAUGCCAUAAACAAGAGAGAAAGGGGUUGCCCCUGUUGAAGUGCGGACAGAUGUACGAUAUCCAUGCAAAGCGAAUGGCAGCAUCUCAUGCCAAUCUUUGUACGUAACAACCAUCUUCUGGAUAAUUUUCUUGAUAUUCUUGUUAGCAGCUUCAACAGCCCCAUUCAUCUUGGGUCUGUAAGGCAAAAAAUUAUGAUGUGCAAUCUUGAACUCACUACACAGCUCUUUCAUCAUCUUGUUAUUCAAGUUAGAUCCAUUAUCAGUAAUGAUCUUACCUGGCACACCAUAUCGGCAUAUGAGUUGAUUCUUGAUAAACUUCACGACCACCUGCCUGGUCACAUUUGCAUACGACGCCGCUUCAACCCACUUGGUGAAGUAAUUAAUUGCUACGAGAAUAAAUCUGUGUCCAUUGGACGCUUUCGGCUCUAUCAUGCCAAUCAUGUCAAUUCCCCACAUGGAGAAGGGCCAUGGUGAUGAGAUCACAUUCAAGAGUGUCGGGGGAAUAUGAAUCUUGUCCGCAUGAAUCUGACACUUAUGGCAUUUCUUCACGAAUUUGCAGCAGUCAGACUCCAUUGUCAGCAAUAGUAGUCUGCUCUCAACAUCUUUCUAGCCAUGGCAUGUCCAUUGGAAUGAGUACCAAAUGAACCCUCAUGGACCUCAGUCAUCAACAGGUCUUCUUCGUGUCUAUCCACGCAUCUGAGCAAAACCAUGUCAAAAUUUCUUUUGUAAAGCACUUCGCCAUUGAGGUAGAAAUUGCCUGACAAUCUCCUCAAAGUCUUCCUAUCUUUUACAGAUGCCCCAGGCGGGUAAAUCUGGCUCUGAAGGAAACACUUGAUAUCAUAAUACCACGGCUUAUCAUCUUUUACUUCUUCUACUGCAAAUACAUGAGCUGGUCUGUCCAAGCGCAUCACGGUGAUAUUGGGGACUUCAUUCCACAAUUUAACCACAAUCAUUGAAGCAAGCGUAGCAAGAGCAUCUGCCAUCCGAUUCUCAUCUCGAGAAAUAUGAUGGAAGUCAACCUCAGUAAAGAACGUUGAAAUCCUCCUCGCAUAAUCUCUGUAUGGAAUGAGGCCAGGCUGAUUCGUUUCCCAUUCACCCUUAAUCUGAUUAACAACGAGGGCUGAAUCACCAUAUACAUCAAGAUGCUUGAUCCUUAGAUCAAUACAUUCCUCCAAUCCCAUAAUACAGGCCUCAUACUCAGCCAUAUUAUUCGUGCAUUUGAAAGUUAGCCUUGUUGUAAAGGGAAUAUGCGCGCCCUGAGGAGUAAUAAUCACGGCCCCAAUAUCAUUUCCAUACUGAUUUACAGCACCAUCAAACACCAUACUCCAUCUGGAACCAGGCUCUGGCCCUUCAUCGAGUGUAGGCUCAUCACAAUCUUUCAUCUUCAAAUACAGAAUCUCCUCAUCCGGGAACUCAUACUGAACUGACUGAUAAUCUUCAAUAGGAUGAUGUGCCAAAUGGUCAGCCAAGAUACUACCUUUAAUAGCCUUCUGAGCUUGAUACUCAAUAUCAUACUUAGAUAACAACAUCUGCCAACGGGCAAUUCUCCCUGUUAAAGCAAGCUUCUCGAAGAUGUACUUGAUUGGAUCCAUUCUGGAUAUCAACCAAGUCGUAUGAUUUAUCAUAUACUGGCGUAAGCGCUUAGCAGCCCAAGCCAAAGCACAGCAUGUCUUUUUAAGCAUUGAGUAUCGAGACUCACAAUCAGUGAACUUCUUACUCAGGUAGUAAAUAACAUACUCCUUCUUCCCUGAUUCGUCUUGCUGACCAAGGACACAACCCAUCGAGUCUUCAAGAACAGUUAGAUACAUGAUCAAAGGUCUUCCCUCUACAGGUAGAGACAGAAUCGGAGGCUCAGACAGAUAUUCUUUAAUACUGCUGAAAGCUUUCUGGCAAUCCUCGGUCCAAUCAUGGGACUGAUCUUUCUGGAGGAGAUUGGAUAUAGGCGCACAUGUGGCAGUCAUGUGGGAUAUGAAUCUGGAGAUAUAAUUCAAGCGGCCAAGAAAACCUCGGACUUGCUUCUCAGUUUUGGGCGUAGGCAUCUCUUGUAUUGCUUUGACCUUUGCCGGAUCAACCUCAAUACCUCUUUCACUAACAAUGAAGCCCAAUAACUUGCCAGAACGGACUCCAAAUGUACACUUGUUGGGAUUCAGACGAAGCUUAUAUUUCCUCAAACGCCGGAAAAGCUUCAACAAAUGCUCUACAUGUUCAACUUCCGUUCUUGACUUUGCAAUCAUAUCGUCAACAUAUACCUCAAUCUCCUUGUGCAUCAUAUCAUGAAACAAGGUGGUCAUAGCUCGUUGAUACGUGGCUCCGGCGUUCUUCAAACCGAAGGGCAUCACUCGAUAAUAGAAUGUUCCCCAAGGUGUGAUGAAUGUUGUCUUCUCCAUAUCNNNNNNNNNNNNNNNNNNNNNNNNNNNNNNNNNNNNNNNNNNNNNNNNNNNNNNNNNNNNNNNNNNNNNNNNNNNNNNNNNNNNNNNNNNNNNNNNNNNNNNNNNNNNNNNNNNNNNNNNNNNNNNNNNNNNNNNNNNNNNNNNNNNNNNNNNNNNNNNNNNNNNAACAUCUGCCAACGGGAAAUCCUCCCUGUUAAAGCAGGCUUCUCGAAGAUGUACUUGAUUGGAUCCAUUCUGGAUAUCAACCAAGUCGUAUGAUUUAUCAUAUACUGGCGUAAGCGCUUAGCAGCCCAAGCCAAAGCACAGCAUGUCCUUUCAAGCAUUGAGUAUCGAGACUCACAAUCAGUGAACUUCUUACUCAAGUAGUAGAUAGCAUACUCUUUCUUCCCUGAUUCAUCUUGCUGGCCAAGGACACAACCCAUAGAAUCUUCAAGAACAGUCAGAUACAUGAUCAAUGGUCUCCCUUCCACGGGCGGAGACAGAAUCGAAGGCUCAGACAGAUAUUCUUUAAUACUGUCGAAAGCUUUCUGGCAAUCCUCGGUCCAAUCAUGGGACUGAUCUUUCCGGAGGAGCUUGAAUAUUGGCGCACAUGUGGCAGUCAUGUGGGAUAUGAAUCUGGAAAUGUAAUUCAAGCGGCCAAGAAAGCCUCGGACUUGCUUCUCAGUUUUGGGCGUAGGCAUCUCUCGUAUUUCUUUGACCUUUGCAGGGUCAACCUCAAUACCUUUCUCACUGACGAUAAAGCCCAAUAACUUGCCAGAACGGACUCCAAAUGUACACUUGUUGGGAUUCAGGCGAAGCUUAAACUUCCUCAGACGCUGAAAAAGCUUCAACAGGUGCUCUACAUGUUCAACUUCCGUUCUCGACUUAGCAAUCAUAUCAUCAACAUACACCUCAAUCUCUUUAUGCAUCAUAUCAUGAAACAAGGUAGUCAUAGCUCGUUGAUACGUGGCUCCGGCGUUCUUCAAACCGAAGGGCAUCACUCGAUAACAGAAUGUUCCCCAAGGUGUCAUGAAUGUUGUUUUCUCCAUAUCCUCGGGUGCCAUUUUAAUCUGAUUAUAUCCGGAAAAUCCAUCCAUAAACGAGAAGACCUUGAAUUUAGUUGUAUUAUCUACCAACAUAUCAAUAUGUGGUAGAGGGAAAUCAUCUUAAAUCCAUCCAUAAACGAGAAGACCUUGAAUUUAGUUGUAUUAUCUACCAACAUAUCAAUAUGUGGUAGAGGGAAAUCAUCUUUCGGACUAGCUUUAUUCAAAUCUCUAUAAUCCACACACAUCCGGACUUUUCCAUCUUUCUUAGGCACGAGCACAAUAUUGGCCACCCAUUGAGGAUAUAUAGAAGUCACCAGGAACCUCGCAUCAAUUUGCUUAUGAACUUCCUCUUUGAUCUUCACUGCCAUAUCAGGAUGAGUUCUUCUGAGUUUCUGCUUCACAGGCACGCACUCAAGCUUUAAAGGUAGAAAAUGUUGCACAAUAUCAGUAUCUAGACCAGGCAUGUCUUCAUAUGACCAGGCAAAGACGUCAACAUAUUCUCGUAGCAAUUCGAUCAACCCCUUCUUAACAGACUCUUCCAAGAGUGCCCCAAUCUUUACCUCUCGCACACAAUCCUCAGACCCCAAGUUGACUGUUUCCAGAUUCUCAAGAUGUGCCUGAAUGAUCUUCUCUUCAUGCUCAAGUAGCCGGGUGAUCACAUCAGGAAUCUCUUCAACAUCAUCUUCCUCUGCCUCAAAUACAGGGAAUUCAAAAUUGGGAGAUGGCGUUGGGUCAUUAUGUUCAAUGGGUUUGAUCAACCUGCAUAAUGAUUUUGGAUAUGAAAAGCUCUUAGAAUUCAAACAAGGCAAAUCAUUAUGCAUAUGGAAAGAUUGAUUUUAUUCUAUUUUUUAGGGUUUUAUGUGAUCACCAAUUUCAUGCAAAAAGCAAAAAAGGGAAAAUAAAUGGAAAAACAAACAUUUAACAUGAAUUUAUUGAAUGAAAAUAUCAUUGUAUUUGUGCGCCAACAAUGUCAUCACUCCUCCUUUUGGCAUGGGAGAAGGGUUUUCAAACAAAGUGAUUAUUACGUUGACUUAUGGACAACUGUUGGAAUAUCCACAGCGACCCAAUUGUUGCAGACCCCACCAGGGAUGAUGAAGUUGCCAGAAUCCUCUGUAUCUUCUUCCAAGACAGCAGCAGCUUCCUCGCUCUGACCAGUGUGGAUGAAACCUCCACUCUUGAAUAACCCUUGCUUGUUGAAAGUACCAGAAGAAAAACCUAUGCCAGCCCGGGACUCGUUGUCUUCUAACUCAAUCAUUUUUCCUAAACCAGUGGUUGCACCACGCUCAAUGGCCAGCUUUGCAUCUUUGUAGGAAGCAAAUGAAGGAGUUCUCUUCUCAAUAGGCUCAGCUAUAGAUAAAGCUUGGAAAGGAGUUCCAAUUUCAACCUCAGCAUCUAUAUAAGAGAAGGAAGACAAAUGGCUAACCAGGAGAGCCCUUUCUCCCCCUACCACCACCAGCUUCUUGUUUUUCACGAAUUUCAAUUUCUGGUGUAGGGUGGAUGUCACGGCGCCUGCCUCGUGAAUCCAUGGUCUGCCUAAGAGACAGCUAUACGAUGGGUGAAUGUCCAUAACCUGGAAGGUAAUCUGAAAAUCACUUGGUCCGAUCUUGAUUGGGAGAUCAACUUCCCCAAUCACAGUUUUGCGAGACCCAUCGAAAGCCUUCACAACUACUCCACUCUGCCUCAUGGGAGGCCCUUGAUAUGAUAGUUUUGAGAGAGUGGACUUUGGCAAUACGUUCAAUGAUGACCCGGUGUCCACCAGCACAUUGGACAUGGCGUCGUCUUUGCAAUUCAUAGAUAUGUGUAAAGCCAAGUUGUGGUCUCUUCCCUCCUCAGGGAGAUCAGAGUCACAAAAGCUCAGGUUGUUACAAGCAGUAAUGUUUGCAACAAUGCUAUCGAAUUGCUCCAAAGUGACAUCGUGAUCCACAUAUGCCACAUCCAACACCUUCUGCAGAGCCUCUCGGUGUGGUUCUGAAUUUAAGAGUAAGGAUAACACAGAUAUUUUGGAUGGCGUUUGUAGAAGUUGGUCUACAACAUUGUACUCGCUCCUUUUGAUGAGUCUCAACAUCUCAUCACAGUCUUCUUUCUCAUUGCCACUCGGGCCAACAGAAGUAGGAGUUUUCAGUACGGAGGAGGGCUUAACAGCAAGUUCUAGAUUCGGCGAAUUCACAACGUUCCUAAUCGGGCGUUCAACAAAACCAGCAUUAAUUUGAGGCUUCGGCGGUGCUGAAAACACACGACCGCUGCGGGUCAAACCACUUACAUCGGCAAUAUUCACAACAGAAGAAGAGGGCAAGGACACCUCUUUCCCCUUCUCUACUGCUACAGCGUUGUAGCGAUAGGGAACUGCCUUUUCAGAAGAGUAAGGCACAGGACCAGCAGUCUUAAUGAUCAGAGCGGGAGAAGCCUUCUGCUUGCUACCAUUGUACUUGAUGAUAACAGGCUCGGGGAUCCGAAACACUGGAGAAAUUACGUUGACCUCAUCAGCAUCUUCGUCAACAUUUCUGUUUUGAAGGAUCUCAAUGACUCCUUCGUCCAGCAUUUCCUGAACAUCCUUGCGCACCUGGCAAAAACCAAAUCGGUUAAUAGAGCAGACUCGGCAUCUAUCAUAGUCAUGCUCAUAAUGACUAUAAUCACAUAGCAAACGGUGCAUCUCGACCAGAGAUUGUCGAAUAUGACUGACAUAUUUGACCUUGUAUUUGCCAGGGCAACCCUGGACCAUCUUGACAGAUUCCCCAUGUUCGGGCAAUGGGUUCUUCUUCACAUUAGGACCUACGUCCUCAAAACAUAGAAUUCCACACCUCACAAGGUCUUGAACCUUGGUCUUCAAAGGGUAACAAUUCUCCACGUCGUGGCCGGGAAUCACAUUAGGACCUACGUCCUCAAAACAUAGAAUUCCACACCUCACAAGGUCUUGAACCUUGGUCUUCAAAGGGUAACAAUUCUCCACGUCGUGGCCGGGAGCACCAGAAUGGUAAACACAGUGCAACUCGGGCUUAUACCACCACUGGGGGUUAGCAGGUAGAGCCGGUGGGUCUCUCGGAGUAAUCAACUUUCUCUCUAUCAAAGAGGGAUAUAACUCUGCGUACGUCAUCGGAAUAGGAUCAAAAGUGACCUUUUUCCUCUUGUAACUUGUGUUGGUUUGAUUACUGUUGCGAGGCUGGUAGGCCUGCUGUUGUGGACGGAGCUGUUGUGGCUGAUAUUGCUGAGGUAGUUGUUGAUUGCUGUUGUGAUGCUGGUACUGUUGAUUAUCUCUAAAGAUAGGUGCUAUAUGAGCCACCUGGUGCUGGUUACUGGCGGGACGCACAGUCUUCCUCCUCAUAGAGGGUCUUCUUGGUUUCUCAUGGGAGGUCACAGCAUGUGUCACUCCAUCUUUCUUCUUUGCAAACGCCCCAUAACGUUUGGCAGAAGAGCCUUCUUCUCUGGUUAACCGUCCUUCACGAACCCCUUCUUCUAGACGCAUCCCCAUAUUCACCAUCUCGGUGAAGUCAGAAAACCGUCCUUCACGAACCCCUUCUUCUAGACGCAUCCCCAUAUUCACCAUCUCGGUGAAGUCAGAAGGAGCGCUAGCAAUCAUCCGCUCAUAAUAAAAAGAACUUAAAGUCUUCAAAAAGAUCUUAGCCAUCUCUUUCUCUUCUAGCGGAGGCCCGAUCUGUGCUGCCAUCUCUCGCCACCUCUGGGCGUACUCCUUAAAUGUUUCUUUAUCCUUCUGGGACAUGGCUCUCAAUUGAUCUCUAUCGGGAGCCAUAUCCACGUUGUACUUGUAUUGCUUGACGAAGGCUUCGUCGAGAUCAUUGAAGGAUCGGAUGUUCGCGCUGUCUAAACCCAUGUACCAACGCAAAGCGGCACCGGACAGACUAUCCUGAAAGUAGUGGAUGAGUAGUUGGUCAUUAUCGGUCUGAGUCGACAUCUUCCUGGCAUACAUGACCAGGUGGCUGAGAGGACAAGUAUUUCCUUUGUACUUUUCGAAAUCAGGGACCUUGAAUUUCACAGGGAUCUUCACAUUUAGAACCAAGCAGAGUUCGGCAGCAGACUUGCCAAAAAGAUCUUUCCCUCUGAGAGUUUUCAAUUCCUUGCGAAGCUCAAGAAAUUGAUCGUUCAUAGCAUCCAUCUUCUCAUAAACAUCUGGACCCUCAGACGGCUCAGAAUGAUAGAUGGUGUCGUCUACCCUGGGCAAAGUAUGCACGACAGGAGGAGGAACGGCAAGGACCGGGCUAGAUGCCGACAGAGAAGCAAAGGUAGGAACAGGACCCUCAGGCAUGAAAUUGGGAGGCAUCCCCCACGGGAACCCGGUUGGCAUGGCUGUUGGAACAAAGUGUGCACUGGCAGCGGGCACAGUAGAGGAGACAAUCUCGGAGAUAACUGUCCUCUGGGGAGGAGUUGAAGGUGUCGGAGAAGACUGGCUCUGGGCAGCCAUGAGUGACUCCAUUAGGGCAGUCAAUCUGGCCACUUCCUCUUUCAGCUCGCGGUUCUCUUGCUCUAAGUGAUCCAUCAGUCUUGAAAUGUUGGCUCUAGUGUAGUACCGGUGAGUCAGCUUGUCUUCAAAAUAAAUGAAGAACACAGAGUUAGACCACAGGACAAGAAGCCGGGAACAAAACCUGCUUAUGCACAUGAUGCAUGCAAUGCUUGUGCAUAUGAUUUGUUUUUUAUUUCAAAGGAACUUUAGAGUUUUAUUUGCAAAUUCUGGAAAUAUUAAGCAUUUUAUCACAUAUGGAAAUAUCUCAUCAAAUAAUAUCAGGGAAAAGAAGUGCAACAUCGUCAAUCAUAUACAAGAGAAAAGGAAAAUAAUCGUCUUAUGGAUCCCUAGAAACAAUCAUCUAAAGCUCGGGACACAGGAAGAUAAGAUGCGCGAAGCCUCUUCACCUCCCUCUCGUAGGCUGCCUCCAUAUCGGCCUUCUCUUUGGCGAGUCGAUCAUACCUCCUCUUCCAGAACUUAGAAGACUGAGGAAGUAGAGAAGUCCAUACAUCAUCAGGGUCAUCAAUAACCUGAUGCUCAAGAAACUCAAUCAACGCAUCCUUCUCCUUAAUCUGCUGAAGCAACUCUUCACGUUCACGGAUCCAGGCACGUGAACGGUCUUCGUCUCUCAACUCCUCUACUCCUUGAUUAGGGAGGGUUGAAGGCCCAACCAUAAUCAUAGGUGUAGGUCUCGGAUACUCGUAAGGCAUGAGAUACUCAGACGCCCUCUUCCUAACCCAAACAGUGUAAGGCUCCAAAGCGAUGCAAUUCUUAGGACCCAACUCUUUCCUUCCUUUCCUAUGAAUCUUGCGCCAAGCGCGGACCAUCCUAGCUUUCAAGCCUUGGGGAUCUUUACCAUCCUGAAAGAAUACACCCUCUAACAGAAUGUUAUUGGGUUUAUCCUUUAAGGGGAACCCAAGCUGCCGACGUGCCAAAACAGGAUUGUAGUUAAUCCCACCACAUGUACCAAGAAGAGGUACAUUGGAGAAUUCGCCACAAGAGUCAAUAAUCUGCACACCAUCAUACACACGGUUAUACCAAGAGAUAUCAUCAUUAGUGAGAGACAUAAGUCUCGUGGACCACCGUAGACAUCCCUUGUUCUCCUUGAAAGCGACCGUCUGAGGUAAGUGAGAAAUAAACCACUUAUACAACAGAGGAAAACAACACACAAUGGCGCCACCACCCUUUGCAUUCCUCAUAUGCAAAGAGAAAUAGGUAUCGCCCAACAGAGUCGGAACGGGAUUAAGAGUAGAGAAAAUCCUAAUAGCGUUCACAUCUACAAACUUGUCGAUGUUGGGGAAUAACACUAGCCCAUAGAUGAGAAGUACAAAUAUGGCCUCAAAGACAUCCUCACUCGUGGCCUUCCCAUACAUAGCAGCUUGAGCAAUGAGGAACUCAAAAGGGAGACCUUGAAUUCCACCUUUGGUAGUCAUAUGAGCACCAAUCAGAGAUUCAUCUAUGUGUAACAUGCCUGCUAUCUCUUGAGAAGUAGGAACCCUUUCCAAGCCACUGAACGGCAACUGAUCCAGAAUAGGUAUACCCACCAGAUAAGCAUACUCCUCAAGUGUAGGCAAAAGCUGAAAAUCUGGAAACGUGAAGCAACGGUACAAAGGAUCGUAAAAAUGCACCAAUACACUCAUCAAUCCUUCAUCCACCUGAGUAGUCAGGAGAGGAAGAAGCUUCCCAAAACGAGCCUUGAAACCCAAAAGAUCUAAUACAUAGGAUGUCAAAUUCCUUAACUCUUUCAAGUCUGGUUGUUUGAAACUGUACUUCUUUGUAUUCCUUCUUUGUCUUUCCAUGUCUGAAAAUUUUGCAAAUAGACCUCUUAAGUUCCUUGAAAAUUUUCUUAUUUAUUAAUGAUAUGGAUGCAAAUGGGUGCAUGAAUGCAUGAAUGCAACAAUCACACUCAAGGAUCAAGCAAAGCACACCAAACAAAGGUCAUAGGAUGGAUCAUGUUAUCCUUAAUAUCAACCACCCAUUUUGGUGGAUUAUGGUUUACACCUUAUCAACACCCAAGUUCCAUUGAUAUUAAGGAUACCUGAACGGAUCAACCAUGAAUCAAGGGUUUGUUGCAAGUCACGAGCAUGGAGUUUAGGUUAAGAACCACCCAAAGGGAGUGUACUAAGGUUUAAACCUGCCAAACAUGUUCUACAAAAGGUUCCCAUAGUCAUCAUCCCAUCUUUCGGAUAUUAUCGGAGAAACGACUACUCGUAUUCCAAAAAUAUUCUCAAGAGAGACUCUUAUGAGUGUAGUAUCGCGUAACAAUCGUAUCAAAUCUUACACUUGAACGACCUUCGCACUACAUCCUAAGAAUAGGCCAAGAUGGGCUUGGUAAACUAAGGUCCUUGGCUUCUAAGGUCUAUAUUGGAAAGAGUAAUGUCUAACCACAACUUACUUGUGUGACAUUAUUGAUCCCAACAUGACCUCCACCAAGUGAAUGGGCUUGCAAGUCAACUUGCUAAGGAAUAACUCCACACAAGUCAACAAGACUAUGCCAUUCUCCUAUCCUAAGUGCACUCGAGUUCGGGUAUAGAACUCAUCUCACAAAGAUCACCAAGCAUACAAGGAAUUAAUAUUCAAACAAUUCAAUCAUUACAUACAAUACAGUAAUCCCAAAUUGCACAAAAAUAUGUCACAAAACAAUAUACAAUACAAUACAACAAAUAUGAAAAGUAGGCAAAACCCACUAGGCAAAUGUCCCCAGCAGAGUCGCCACUUUUCUGUAGCGGGGUAUUCGUUACCAUUAGAGAUAUUGACUAAAUCCAAGGUAAAUCAUACAAGUCGAGUCGCCACCGCACUUCUAUUUAUCCAAAGGAAUGGUUAGAAAGCGAACAAAAACCUAAAAGUUUUAUCGAAUCAAAAACUAGUAAAAAUGUCAGAGAUCUGGGUAAGGGGGUUGGUUAUGCAAUGGGAAGGUAUUAGGCACCCAAAACAUCCUAGGUACUCCUAGGGAGCCCUUUUCACAUUUGUUGCAAAGGUUGUUUUUUUUUGUGAAAAUUUAUUUGUGCAAACAUGAUUAAAGGGAUGAGGAAAGCAUGUAUGUUUAUCUAAUGUACUACUUACUAAAAGAAGGGUCAAAAGAAAAUGACUUGCACGGAUGUCGCAUCCACUACAUACGUAUCUCAUCUGAAUCUGAGAAUCAGAGUCUUCGUAGCUCGGCUACCUACGGGUUAAAGGGGGAGUGUGCUCGCUAAGACACCGCGUCUUAUGCCUACGUAUCUCAUCGGGGAUGAAACUCAGAGCAAAACGUAGUUCGACCACCUAUGGGUUAAGGGUUUGGGGCGAACGACGUUACUACGCAAUCUACCGGAUACUCGACCUUUGGAGACUUACUCGCCUGUAGUAGAAAGAGUAAAUGUGUUCUAUGGAGAAGAAAAAUCAAUGAAUUUGUUUGAGUUUUAGGAACGCUCAGGCAAAAGGGAAGUCCUAGACGAAGGAACCUGCAUAAAGUAAACACACAAAACAUUGCCUCCUAUCGAGGUCUUCCAGCUAAGAAAGCGGUAAAAAUCGGAAACUGUAAAAAGUGACCACACGGAUAAAAAGAUUCGAAGUAACAAGUAAUUAACGGAACAAGGAACCACGCACGAUGCUCUCGAAGUCGCACCUCAAAAAAGUGAGUCAGAUAUAGGUAACCGAAUAUCCUCCAGUGUACCCAGCACAAUAAAGGGGAACACCAGCAACCAAUCUCAUGCACCAACAUAUCACGCCCUCACAAAACAAAACUCAACAAAACAGGGUAGAGAAACAAGAAUAGGGUAAGUCAAAUUGCCCUCAAUCAUAUGUAACCGACAUGAAAAAAUCAUGCGCAUUAAAAUUCACAAAAAGUCAACAAAGCAACCAAGGUAAGAGCCUAAUAUCUUGCAACACAUGCAUCAAGAAGGGUAUCAAAUUCACCCAUAAUACCUCAUACAUUCAGAAACAUUCCAAAUUAAAGCAAAAGUAAUUAGAAUAAGCAAUAACCUGACUGGAGGAGAUCCGACAUGAAAUUGAAUUGCCCGUUGUUUGCCAAAGCCAAUCUGAGGGUUUAUAUGAGAGGGAAUUGGUUCUUUGCCGAUGAGUUCCCUUCAGUCUCUGGAGGUUGCUCUGAACUCUGUUAGCUCUUCUCUCACUAUCUUUUUCCUGCUAGGAUAAUAGGAAUGGAAUGAAAUUUUGUUUCACUGAAACUCUGAAUUUAUAACCUGAUUUUGUGGACCUGUGGGCUCAAAUGAGAGAGACCCAAGUCCAAAAAAAUUUUGUUAUAUUUUAUUUAUUUAUUAUUUAUUUAUUUAUUUAUUAUUAUUUUAUUUAUUUAUUUAUUUAUUUUCGUUCUUUUUUCUUCUUCUUUUUUCGUUCUUUUUUUUUCUCGUUUUUUUUUAAACACGUGGGCUUCGCCUAGCGAGCAUGACAGUUCAUGAACAAACUUUUGCUCCUUCAAGAUUAAUGUUUUGACUGACGAAUAGACCCCAUUUGAACCUGUUGGAAGUAUCUUAAGUCAUUCCCUUGUGUUGACUGAUCAUCUAAAUAGAACACACAAAGUGUCUUGGAUGAUACUCAAGCUUCAAACAAAAGAUGUUAGUGACACAUUUUUGUGCUU